CUACGGGAGGCACCAGUGAGGAAUUUUGCGCAAUGGGGGAAACCCUGACGCAGCAACGCCGCGUGAGCGAAGAAGGCCCUCGGGUCGUAAAGCUCUGUCAAGUGGGAAAAAAGUCCUUCGAUUAAUACCCGGAGGAUUUGAUGGUACCACUGGAGGAAGCACCGGCUAACUCCGUGCCAGCAGCCGCGGUAAUACGGAGGGUGCAAGCGUUGUUCGGAAUUACUGGGCGUAAAGGGCGUGCAGGCGGUUUGGCAAGUCAGAUGUGAAAGCCCUGGGCUUAACCCGGGAAGUGCAUUUGAAACUGCCUGUCUUGAGUAUGGGAGAGGAGAGUGGAAUUCCCAGUGUAGAGGUGAAAUUCGUAGAUAUUGGGAGGAACACCCGUGGCGAAGGCGACUCUCUGGACCAAUACUGACGCUGAGACGCGAAAGCGUGGGGAGCAAACAGGAUUAGAUACCCUCGUAGUC
RNAcentral lists this ribosomal RNA (464 nucleotides) under uncultured bacterium. Its description in RNAcentral is "partial 16S ribosomal RNA". It matches the Rfam family "Bacterial small subunit ribosomal RNA", at positions 339 to 795 of the family's 1533-position model. The record is from RNAcentral.